RNAcentral lists this long non-coding RNA (959 nucleotides) under Arabidopsis thaliana (thale cress). RNAcentral's name for it is "long non-coding RNA (ATHA_LNC000031)". Lineage: Eukaryota; Viridiplantae; Streptophyta; Magnoliopsida; Brassicales; Brassicaceae. The record is from RNAcentral.
AAAGUUCAAAGGCUCAAUACUAUUUUGUUAACAUGUCUAGGAAUCACAAAAUGCAUCAUAACUAAGAUAAAGAGUGAGCAUCAAAAACAAUUUCAAUCAAAUCCCAUCACAAAAUUGACCACUGAAGAAUCAAAAACAGAGGCCACUUAGUCAAAAAAACUCUGAAACUCCAUAAACGAAUCCCACUCUUCAGCUUUCACUAUCCUUUGUUCCUUACACAACCAAAAAGACAUUACAAUGGUGUUUAUUAGAAGUAAAGUUUCAAAAUCCAUGGAAGCCAUUGAUUCUAUAGAGGUACCUUGUAAUACUCCUCGAGUCCUCGUCCUCGAAAUGAAGAUUUGAGCAGAUGGGCUUUUGGAGGCUGGAAUCAAAGGAAGCAUCGGAUUUGAGGGGGGGGGGGGGGGUUUCGAACAUUCUCUUGGCUAUUUCGAGUUGAUUUCUCUUCGAAGUUGUGUCGUCUCCAUUUUUGUGGUUACAGUGGCCGAGCUUUUUGUUUUCACAGCGAUGGGUUUUAUGGGUUUACAUUGGUUUUGAAAUUCAAAUUGAUCUCGGUUCGGUUUACUUUGGUUUAGAGAAGAAAACCAAAAAAAAUAAGACACGCGAUGGGUUUUUGAGAAUGAGGUGCGUGGAUCCAAAAAGGCAUGAUUUUUGUGGAUUAACCCCCUUUAGAAAUCGUAGACACGCGCUCAACGCGACAUGGGUGAGACUGAGUGUGGAAUCACACGAUUGGUAAAAGUGGGGUAUGAAGUGGAGCUCUCCCAUUGGCUAAAAAACUAAAAAUAGUAGACAUGUAGCUCCUAUCCUCCUCUGAUAAAAUUUAUGCUUCUUAUUUACGAAAUUUUGCUCAACAAGAUGCGAAAGAGUAAGAGAGCAACCUGAAACCUGAGAGUUAAGGAUCUGAAAGAGAACACCUCUGAGAAAGUUCAACAGUCACGUAACUGGAUUUCUGCAAUACUUCC